AACCUCCACCUCCUGGGUUCAAGGGAGUCUCCUGCCUUAGCCUCCGGAGUAGCUAAGAUUACAAACACCAACCAUCAUGUCUGGCUAAUUUUUGUAUUUUAGUAGAGACAGCUGCUAAGUCUGCAGGGGUUUGUUGCCUACAAUCACAAUGGAAGAAAAUGCUAAAUUCCAGCAUGAGAUCAGUGAAGGGAAAAGAAAAAAAGGUGUAAUUUUUUUUCCAUCCAAGUUCACAGACCCCUGGGUUAAGAACAGCUGGUGUAGAGGAAGGCAGUGGAGAGGAAACUCUGGAACUAGCCAGUUUGUUUGGAAGCGCUUCGUAUAUGGGCCUCUUCAGUCAUCUUUUUGGAUGUUAUUGAUUUGGCCCUGUAUGGAGAGCAGUGAUACAUGUCAGAUUCACAAUUCUCAAAGCAUAACUGCUGAUCUUCCCUCCACCCCCAGACCUGCCCCACCCGAAGCCUUCUUCAGCUCCGUGGAUGGCUCUCUUCUUCCAAUUGCCCAACAAAAACCCUGGCGUUGCCUUGAAGCACCCCACAUUGAAUCCAUUGGAAAAUCCUACUGGCUCUGCCUUCCUGACUCUGCCCACCGCUGCCUGCCUCCACUGCUCCCAACCUUGUCUGAGCUGCAAUGACUUCUCACCUGGUUACUGCAAUGGCCCCAUCUACUCCCCCAGCUUCCUCCUUGUCCCCCUGAAGUUCAUUUAUUUUUAUUUUUAUUCUUAAAUUAAGUAGAGACAUAGUCUCACUAUGGUGUCCAGGCUGGUCUUGAACUCCUGAGCUCAAGUGAUCCUCCCGUCUCAGCCUCCCAAAGUGCUAGGAUUACAGGCACGAGCCACCAUGCCUGGCCAUCCCUGCAGUUCAUUUUUUUUUUUUUUUUUUUUUUUGAGACGGUGUCUGGCUCUGUCACCCAGGCUGCACAAUCUCAGCUCACUGCAACCUCCACCUCCCAGGCUCAAGCCAUCCUUCCACCUCAGCCUCCCACGUAGCUGGGACUAUGGGUGCGCGCCACCACGCCCGGCUAAUUUUUGUGUUUUUUGUAGAGAUGGGGUUUCACCAUGUUGCCCAGGAUGGUCUUGAACUCUUGGGCUCAAGCAAUCUGCCCACCUUGGCCUCCCAAAGUGCCAGGAUUACAGGUGUGAGCCACUGCACCUGGCCAUCCCUGCUGUUUAUUUUUAACACAGCAGGCAGAGUGACCCUUUAUGUGCGGGCUCCUUGCUCAC
This 1216-nucleotide long non-coding RNA is filed under the name Pan troglodytes (chimpanzee). Its description in RNAcentral is "long non-coding RNA NONPTRT000894". The record is from RNAcentral. Lineage: Eukaryota; Metazoa; Chordata; Mammalia; Primates; Hominidae.